AUGGCUAUUGGUGGAGCAACAUAUGAGUAUGAUAUGGCUAUUGCUGCUAGACUGACACAAGUUCGAUCAUUUAUAUUGUUGGAGAAUCCCAUACCACCUUUUUUGUGGUUCAAGUAUCUCAUGGUGCUCAUCAUUGUUAGGGGAAAGGAUAUAGUUGACCUCACUGCUAUUAGCCAACUGUUUCAGCUGAGGUGUGUGAUGGUUAGAGUCGAUGGGAAAAUAGAGCUCCCUACUGAACUUGGUAAGCUUGUUUACUUGGAGACACUGGACAUACAGAAAUGCAGGCUGGUAAAGUGCAUCCCUUCAGAUAUAGUUCAUUUGCCCCGCCUGUCCUAUCUGGGUCUUCCAAAUUGUACAGACCUGCCGGAAGGUAUCGAGAAUAUGAAAUCACUGCGCACUCUGCAAGAGUUUGACCUGGAAAAGAUCUCCCUGAAGUAUAUUAUGGAUAUCAGCGAGCUGACCAAUCUGAGGGAACUGAGUGUGAAAAAAGAGUUCAGUUUGGGGACGCAAAAAGUUGAUGCUUUGGCCUUCUCCAUUGGAAAGCUCCGUAACCUCGAAUGUCUGCGCAUCUUUGGUUGCCAUCUUGAGAGUGAGAACCUGCAGCUGGGCUCAUUAUCCAAUCCUUUUCAACAUAUGGAGCGACUUUGCAUGAGAACAUGGUGGUUCUGCAGAGUUCCGAAAUGGAUGGAUGGUCUCCAUUGUCUGCGCGUCCUUGAGCUGCAGGUUGAGGAGACGUCAACUGAGGAGAUUCAUCUUCUUGGAGAGCUUCCCUCCCUCGUCUACCUCAACUUUGGAGCGGGUAAAAUCCCUGCUGAGAGAGCUAUAUUAGGCACAGGACUAUUCCUAGUUCUCGAGUAUUUUUAUUGUAGUUCUCGGAAAGACAUUACAGCGUACCUGGGGUUCGAAGCAGGGGCUAUGCCCAACUUACGAAUCCUUUGUCUCAGUGUGGUGCAUUGGGGUGGCACCAUACCAGUCGGAAUGGAGCACCUGUUGCACCUCCAGGAGAUCCGACUUGAUGGGGCCUUUCAUGAUGUUGUGUGCGCGUUCAAGGAGGCUUCGCUGGUGCACCCAAACCGCCCUUCCGUUAGUAGACUGGGCUCAAGCCUAGAAAUAAUGGGAAGAUGGUAG
RNAcentral lists this ribosomal RNA (1128 nucleotides) under Triticum aestivum (bread wheat). Its description in RNAcentral is "partial small subunit ribosomal RNA". The record is from RNAcentral. Lineage: Eukaryota; Viridiplantae; Streptophyta; Magnoliopsida; Poales; Poaceae.